CAGGAAGCCACUGGAUUGGGAAGAAAAAAGAACCCUGUGUCAGAAAAUUCCAGGACAGUUGGCAGACAGUUGGCCAGGACAAGAGACAUAAGGGGCAGGAUGGAAAACAGGCUGGAAGAUAAAAACAAAACAAAAUGAUCCUCAACCCUUUGUACACUCAGAACAUGUCCAGGCAGCUUUAUUUUGAGGAGUCACUAUGCUGCUUCUACAAAUCUAAUCCUUACAGUACAACAGGAGUCAGCAACACACAGGCUCCAGUGGCCCCUCCAAAACAGCUCCUAUAACCCCUACAUUAUAUUACAAUUAAAAUAACCAUUAAAUAAUUUACAAGCAACAAUUUAUUUUAAAAAUUAAGAAAUUACACAAAUCUCACCAGAUCACUAAAUAUACAGUAUCAGUUGGAUGCAACCUCUGAGUCCAUAUAAGUUAGAAGAAUCAAUAAGGACAUCUUGCUUUCCAUUGUGAGCAUUCAGGAUACUGGAGAAAUAGUGGGAAGCUGUCAUUCCCAAAGACUUUCCAUAGUAUUUGUGUCUACAACAA
Long non-coding RNA from Python bivittatus (Burmese python), 540 nucleotides. RefSeq lists it as uncharacterized. NCBI's taxonomy places the organism in Eukaryota, Metazoa, Chordata, Lepidosauria, Squamata, Pythonidae. The record is from RefSeq and is a predicted model, not a curated record.